Molecule: non-coding RNA, 88 nt
Filed under: bovine gut metagenome
Description: TPP riboswitch (THI element)
Rfam family: TPP riboswitch aptamer (THI element) (bases 4-81)
About the family: Vitamin B(1) in its active form thiamin pyrophosphate (TPP) is an essential coenzyme that is synthesised by coupling of pyrimidine and thiazole moieties in bacteria.
Source: RNAcentral
GUAACCAGGGGAGCGAUUGCUGAGAGGUCCCGAAAGGGAUGACCCUUACACCUGAUCCGGGUAAUGCCGGCGUAGGAAGGUAUAUAAA